This 1528-nucleotide ribosomal RNA is filed under the name Klebsiella pneumoniae. RNAcentral describes it as "bacterial SSU rRNA". It matches the Rfam family "Bacterial small subunit ribosomal RNA". Lineage: Bacteria; Pseudomonadati; Pseudomonadota; Gammaproteobacteria; Enterobacterales; Enterobacteriaceae. The record is from RNAcentral.
AGAGUUUGAUCAUGGCUCAGAUUGAACGCUGGCGGCAGGCCUAACACAUGCAAGUCGAGCGGUAGCACAGAGAGCUUGCUCUCGGGUGACGAGCGGCGGACGGGUGAGUAAUGUCUGGGAAACUGCCUGAUGGAGGGGGAUAACUACUGGAAACGGUAGCUAAUACCGCAUAACGUCGCAAGACCAAAGUGGGGGACCUUCGGGCCUCAUGCCAUCAGAUGUGCCCAGAUGGGAUUAGCUUGUAGGUGGGGUAACGGCUCACCUAGGCGACGAUCCCUAGCUGGUCUGAGAGGAUGACCAGCCACACUGGAACUGAGACACGGUCCAGACUCCUACGGGAGGCAGCAGUGGGGAAUAUUGCACAAUGGGCGCAAGCCUGAUGCAGCCAUGCCGCGUGUGUGAAGAAGGCCUUCGGGUUGUAAAGCACUUUCAGCGGGGAGGAAGGCGGUGAGGUUAAUAACCUCAUCGAUUGACGUUACCCGCAGAAGAAGCACCGGCUAACUCCGUGCCAGCAGCCGCGGUAAUACGGAGGGUGCAAGCGUUAAUCGGAAUUACUGGGCGUAAAGCGCACGCAGGCGGUCUGUCAAGUCGGAUGUGAAAUCCCCGGGCUCAACCUGGGAACUGCAUUCGAAACUGGCAGGCUAGAGUCUUGUAGAGGGGGGUAGAAUUCCAGGUGUAGCGGUGAAAUGCGUAGAGAUCUGGAGGAAUACCGGUGGCGAAGGCGGCCCCCUGGACAAAGACUGACGCUCAGGUGCGAAAGCGUGGGGAGCAAACAGGAUUAGAUACCCUGGUAGUCCACGCCGUAAACGAUGUCGAUUUGGAGGUUGUGCCCUUGAGGCGUGGCUUCCGGAGCUAACGCGUUAAAUCGACCGCCUGGGGAGUACGGCCGCAAGGUUAAAACUCAAAUGAAUUGACGGGGGCCCGCACAAGCGGUGGAGCAUGUGGUUUAAUUCGAUGCAACGCGAAGAACCUUACCUGGUCUUGACAUCCACAGAACUUUCCAGAGAUGGAUUGGUGCCUUCGGGAACUGUGAGACAGGUGCUGCAUGGCUGUCGUCAGCUCGUGUUGUGAAAUGUUGGGUUAAGUCCCGCAACGAGCGCAACCCUUAUCCUUUGUUGCCAGCGGUCCGGCCGGGAACUCAAAGGAGACUGCCAGUGAUAAACUGGAGGAAGGUGGGGAUGACGUCAAGUCAUCAUGGCCCUUACGACCAGGGCUACACACGUGCUACAAUGGCAUAUACAAAGAGAAGCGACCUCGCGAGAGCAAGCGGACCUCAUAAAGUAUGUCGUAGUCCGGAUUGGAGUCUGCAACUCGACUCCAUGAAGUCGGAAUCGCUAGUAAUCGUAGAUCAGAAUGCUACGGUGAAUACGUUCCCGGGCCUUGUACACACCGCCCGUCACACCAUGGGAGUGGGUUGCAAAAGAAGUAGGUAGCUUAACCUUCGGGAGGGCGCUUACCACUUUGUGAUUCAUGACUGGGGUGAAGUCGUAACAAGGUAACCGUAGGGGAACCUGCGGUUGGAUCACCU